CAAAGUAACUGAUUUUGUUGUUAGCAACGACUGAACGCUGGGUCUCGCUUUGAGUAACCGGAAGUAUAAAACCGGACAACGGAAGUAGUGGUCUGUCAUGGCAGCCUACGUACGCUCUUACAGAAACCUGUGGAUAGCCAAACUGUUGUCUGUUCCACUUUUUGUUUACUUUUACUUGCUGAGCCUGAGAGAGCACAUGCCUCCUGCCGCGGCCGUUGGUUGGAGGAGCCGCAAUAGUUUGGAAAGGAAGGAAGCAGUAAGGUCAGUUUCCAUUCUGGGUUUUCAGCAUUAAUAAAGAAACCUGCAACAAGGACAGUUAGCAUGCAGUCUGGAGCAGCCAGGGAUCGACCC
Molecule: non-coding RNA, 351 nt
Organism: Maylandia zebra (zebra mbuna)
Lineage: Eukaryota; Metazoa; Chordata; Actinopteri; Cichliformes; Cichlidae
Source: RefSeq, a predicted model, not a curated record